RNAcentral lists this ribosomal RNA (253 nucleotides) under uncultured bacterium. RNAcentral's name for it is "partial 16S ribosomal RNA". It matches the Rfam family "Bacterial small subunit ribosomal RNA", at positions 524 to 776 of the family's 1533-position model. The record is from RNAcentral.
UACGGAGGAUGCAAGCGUUAUCCGGAAUGAUUGGGCGUAAAGCGUCCGCAGGUGGCUUUGUAAGUCUGCUGUUAAAGAGUGAGGCUCAACCUCAUAAGAGCAGUGGAAACUACAAGGCUAGAGUACGUUCGGGGCAGAGGGAAUUCCUGGUGUAGCGGUGAAAUGCGCAGAUAUCAGGAGGAACACCGGUGGCGAAGGCGGGUCUCUGGGCCGUUCCUGACGCUGAGGCGCGAAAGCCAGGGGAGCGAACGGG